CGCACAUGCAUCUCUCUUUCUGUCUGUCUCUCCCUCCCUGCCCCAACCCCCCACAGCACACCGGCAGAAGGGUGCACUGGCCCUUUAAGAAAAACAAGUGAGCAGGAAGACCUCCGGCAUCCACCGCACCCUCAGAGCCCCGUUGAAGAUUAAAGAAGGGAGGCACCGCUAAGUUACCUGCUCUGUCUCUGACACAUCUCUUCCAAUACAGAACACCAGCAAUUCCAAGAAUAGUAAACAUGAAGAGGGAAAAGAUCAAGAGCAAGGGUUAAGCCCUAGAAAACCUCCAGCCUGAGAUGUGAAAGAAUAAAACAGCAUCAGAAGUGGAGACCAAAGGGCAUGCUGUCCCAGGAGCAGUUACGGAGGUGGAGAAGACGGAACUGAAUGCUGGGAAGAAGUCAGAGUCAGAGAGACACUAUGGAGCCGCCAGAGUCAAACAUGCUGAAACUUUGCCGGAGGAACAGUGACGGUCCUUUCAUGGGAACGGCAUCACCAGAAAGCCAGUGGAAGCCAGUGUCUGGGCUGUAAUGAGUCCUCCAAGAAAAAGAACAGACAGAGAAGGUGCAGUCACUAUCCCUGACCUUCUUGAGCACCCCCUUCCACUGCUGUGGUGACACACUCUCAGAAGAGCCCGGGAACUCAUUGCAGUCAGGGCCACUCAGCAUGCCUGGUGAGUAAUACUUCCCCAGAGUAUCCUCCCAGCUGCCCAUGACUGAACAAGUCAUAAAAGGAAAUCUGGGUAACAGUGUCAGUUUUAAGAAAAACACAUGGCCCAUCCUGAAAACAGACAGUUCUCUAAAUAGUGACUAUUUAGAGAUAGUAAUAAAAUAAUUUCAACCCCUGUAGGGCUUAGAAUUACAGUGAAUUCACUCCAGUGUCAGUUGGUAGCAGUGCAGAAACAGAAAAAGGUAAAAAUGUCAAUUAGUAAAACAAGUCCUGAUGUGGGAUUCUCCUCUGUGUAUUUUAUUGCACUGGUUAAUAAAGAAGCUACUUUGACCUAUAGCAGGGCAGAAUAUAGCCAGGCUGGAAGAGAUAUAUAAAGAAAGAGUAGGAGGAGUCAGAAUAGUUUCCAAAGGAGACAGAUACCAGAUCCUUCCCAGUAAACCUCAGCCUCAUGCCAAUACACAGAUUAAUAGAAACGGGUUUAUUUAAGACAUAAGAGUUAGUUAAUAAGAAUCCUGAGCUAGCAAACUUAGACAACAAUAAGGACACUAAGAGAGACUUACAUAGAUCUAAGCUACAUGGGAAGUAGAAAGUAGAAAAAGACAAGAUCCCC
This is a long non-coding RNA of Alexandromys fortis (reed vole), 1276 nucleotides long. RefSeq lists it as uncharacterized. The record is from RefSeq and is a predicted model, not a curated record. Lineage: Eukaryota; Metazoa; Chordata; Mammalia; Rodentia; Cricetidae. The transcript is spliced from 4 exons.